Molecule: long non-coding RNA, 1441 nt
Organism: Dama dama (fallow deer)
Lineage: Eukaryota; Metazoa; Chordata; Mammalia; Artiodactyla; Cervidae
Exons: 2
Source: RefSeq, a predicted model, not a curated record
UUCCAUUAUCUCUGUCAUUUCUGGAUCUGUUUUUCUUCUGUCAUGGGUUUCAUUUUCCCACUUCUUUACAUAUCUAACUUGUGACUGAGCUGAACAUUCAUUUGUUGAGUGGAUUUUGUUUUCUUUUAAGACAGCAUUGAAUGUUGAGGAGGUCUGUUUGGUUUUUAGAAGGCAGUUAAGUUAGCUGUGAAUCAGCUUAUUCCUUUCAAGCCUUGUUUUUAAGUUUGUUAAGUUGGGUCUCUCAUACUGACUAUUCCAAGGGCUAGUCUAGCCCACUCCUAAGACAUCAUAUUCCAUGGUCUCUUCUGAAUACUCUGGAUAUUCAGUGAUUUCCUUCCCCUGUGGCUGGUAAAAACUCCAAUGGCUCUCAGCCCUGUGUGACCUCUAAAUUGCUAGGCUGAUCCCCACUAGCUGUUCUUCGCUCAGUCUCUAAAUUUCACCAUGCCUGCUAAGUUGCUUCAGUCGUAUCUGACUCUGCAACCCCAUGGACUGUGGCCCGCCAGCCUCCUCUGUCCAUGGGAUUCUCCAGGCAGGAAUACUGGAGUGGGUUGCCAUUUCCUCCUCCAGGAGAUCUUGCCGACCCAGGGAUCGAAUCCGGGUCUUCUACAUUGCAGGUGGAUUCUUUACUGUCUGAGCUACCAGGGAAGCCCAAAUUUCACCAUAUUCAGGCACAAUUCAGUGUUCAGCCCCAAAUCCAAGAGAAGACUGGUGCAUAUUUCUCAAGAUCAUUCUGUGGCUCUUUUCUCCUUAGUGGUUUGAUGCAUAAAUUCCAACCACUUAAAUGUCCCUCUACCCUAGUCUCUGUUUCCUCAACUCAGCAACACCACUGUCCUUUAAUUGAAUUUUCCUUCCUUGGAACCUCUGAAAACUGCCUUAAAGGCAGAAGUAGGGGAAAAUAGAAGGUUUGUUCGUUUCCCUUCUCCCAGGAAUCUGUCUUGUUCUGCCUGCUGUACACUGUCUGAAAACACUUGUUUUACAUAGUUUGUCCAAUUUUCCAGUUCUUUAUGGAAGGAGAGCAAGUUCAGCACCAGUUACUCCAUAGUUGUCAGAGGUUCAAAUUAUCUAAUUUUUAAAGUCUUAUUAUUACUUUUUUUUUUUUUUAGCAUACCUCAUAACAAUAUGAAGAGAAUCCUUCUGGUUGAGAACUAAAAAUUUAAUAUGCUGGGAAAGAUUGAAGGCAGGGGAAGAGGAUGACAGAGGAGAAGAUGGCUGGAUGGCAUCACUGACUCAAUGGAUACAAGUUUGAGCAAGCUUCGGGAGUUGGUGAUGGACAGGGAAGCCUGGCAUGCUGCAGUCCAUGGGGUUGCAAACAGUUGGAUGGGACUGAGCGACUGAACUGAACUGAAUUCUGGCCUCAAGUAUAUGCUUGUUGCUAAAGCAACUUAGAAGUGACUAGACUGCCUCAUGAAAUGAUAACAGUCAUGUGAUGGUGAAAUAAUUA